GGCAAGCAUGCAAAAUGCAAAUGGCAUGGCUAAGAAAGGCAAGACUUGGUUAUAUGAAUGAAGCAUCAUUAUGAGAUCUUCUGCUUUGAAGAUUAUGAGGGAAGCACAUCUGGUAUACAGGAUGCUUCAGGUUGAUCCAACCUCAAAAUGCAAGAGUCUUAUGGCUACGUAGAGGCAAACUUCAUCUUAAAUACUGUUUCAAAGUUCCCUGAUGGCACUGUUUCAGACAAUACAAGGGUCAGAAAGAUAUAUCACCAAAUAUCUAAUAAUAUCACCUAAUGUAUCACCAAAAUUGCAAAAAGAAAGAAAACUUCAUUAUACAGAAAUAUGCAUAGAUAACCUUCUAAUAAAACCUAGUAGAUUAUAUAGAAGCAACUGUGAAAAAGUUGUUUUGUUUGCUUAUGCUAUACACUCUAUCCUGUAUGGUUGAGAAUGCAUACUCCGUUAUCAGGGUUCAGUCAUUUGAUCAAGAACAAGAUCUACUCAAGAGGGUAGAAGCUGAAGGGAAAUUGUUAGAUAA
Molecule: long non-coding RNA, 520 nt
Organism: Candoia aspera
Lineage: Eukaryota; Metazoa; Chordata; Lepidosauria; Squamata; Candoiidae
Exons: 2
Source: RefSeq, a predicted model, not a curated record